GGGGUUGUAGCUCAGUGGCAGAGUGCUUGCCUAGGAUGCACGAGGCCCUGGGUUCGAUCCUUAGCACCA
This 69-nucleotide transfer RNA is filed under the name Ictidomys tridecemlineatus (thirteen-lined ground squirrel). RNAcentral's name for it is "Spermophilus tridecemlineatus (thirteen-lined ground squirrel) tRNA". It matches the Rfam family "tRNA". From Rfam's summary of the family: Transfer RNA (tRNA) molecules are approximately 80 nucleotides in length. Lineage: Eukaryota; Metazoa; Chordata; Mammalia; Rodentia; Sciuridae. The record is from Rfam by way of RNAcentral.